GACGAACGCUGGCGGCGUGCUUAACACAUGCAAGUCGAACGAAGAGCGAUGGAAGCUUGCUUCUAUCAAUCUUAGUGGCGAACGGGUGAGUAACGCGUAAUCAACCUGCCCUUCAGAGGGGGACAACAGUUGGAAACGACUGCUAAUACCGCAUACGAUCUAAUCUCGGCAUCGAGGAUAGAUGAAAGGUGGCCUCUACAUGUAAGCUUUCACUGAAGGAGGGGAUUGCGUCUGAUUAGCUAGUUGGAGGGGUAACGGCCCACCAAGGCGAUGAUCAGUAGCCGGUCUGAGAGGAUGAACGGCCACAUUGGGACUGAGACACGGCCCAGACUCCUACGGGAGGCAGCAGUGGGGAAUCUUCCGCAAUGGACGAAAGUCUGACGGAGCAACGCCGAGUGAGUGAUGAAGGCCUUCGGGUUGUAAAGCUCUGUUAAUCGGGACGAAAGGCCUUCUUGCGAAUAGUGAGAAGGAUUGACGGUACCGGAAUAGAAAGCCACGGCUAACUACGUG
Molecule: ribosomal RNA, 510 nt
Filed under: uncultured bacterium
Lineage: Bacteria
Description: partial 16S ribosomal RNA
Rfam family: Bacterial small subunit ribosomal RNA
Source: RNAcentral